Molecule: ribosomal RNA, 497 nt
Filed under: uncultured bacterium
Lineage: Bacteria
Description: partial 16S ribosomal RNA
Rfam family: Bacterial small subunit ribosomal RNA
Source: RNAcentral
GAUGAACGCUGGCGGCGUGCCUAAUACAUGCAAGUCGAGCGAACGGACGAGAAGCUUGCUUCUCUGAUGUUAGCGGCGGACGGGUGAGUAACACGUGGAUAACCUACCUAUAAGACUGGGAUAACUUCGGGAAACCGGAGCUAAUACCGGAUAAUAUUUUGAACCGCAUGGUUCAAAAGUGAAAGACGGUCUUGCUGUCACUUAUAGAUGGAUCCGCGCUGCAUUAGCUAGUUGGUAAGGUAACGGCUUACCAAGGCAACGAUGCAUAGCCGACCUGAGAGGGUGAUCGCCCACCCUGGAACUGAGACACGGUCCAGACUCCUACGGGAGGCAGCAGUAGGGAAUCUUCCGCAAUGGGCGAAAGCCUGACGGAGCAACGCCGCGUGAGUGAUGAAGGUCUUCGGAUCGUAAAACUCUGUUAUUAGGGAAGAACAUAUGUGUAAGUAACUGUGCACAUCUUGACGGUACCUAAUCAGAAAGCCACGGCUAACUACGUG